RNAcentral lists this non-coding RNA (250 nucleotides) under Intestinibacter bartlettii. RNAcentral's name for it is "Clostridium bartlettii T-box sequence". It matches the Rfam family "T-box leader". From Rfam's summary of the family: Uncharged tRNA acts as the effector for transcription antitermination of genes in the T-box leader family. T-boxes are found upstream of many aminoacyl-tRNA synthetase genes and some amino acid biosynthetic genes usually in Gram-positive bacteria. Lineage: Bacteria; Bacillati; Bacillota; Clostridia; Peptostreptococcales; Peptostreptococcaceae. The record is from RNAcentral.
AUCAAACCGAUGAGUAAGAGAAGUAGAUACAAUAAUUAUUUUAUAGAGAGUUGUGGAUGGUGGAAUCAUGACAAAUAACUUGUAUUGAAUGGACUUACGAGGGCAGAAUGAAAGGUGUAUCUUAGUAGUAUCUGACGGGAACUCCAUCCGUUAUCACAGGAGCAUAUAUGAUAGUAUAUGAGAUGAGUGGGUCUUUAUGACCAAUUAGGGUGGUACCGCAGAAGCAGAAGAUAUGACUUUUGUCCCAAUU